RNAcentral lists this ribosomal RNA (315 nucleotides) under Bacillus pumilus. RNAcentral describes it as "partial 23S ribosomal RNA". It matches the Rfam family "Bacterial large subunit ribosomal RNA", at positions 1 to 313 of the family's 2925-position model. The record is from RNAcentral. Lineage: Bacteria; Bacillati; Bacillota; Bacilli; Caryophanales; Bacillaceae.
AUGGUUAAGUUAGAAAGGGCGCACGGUGGAUGCCUUGGCACUAGGAGCCGAUGAAGGACGGGACGAACACCGAUAUGCUUCGGGGAGCUGUAAGCAAGCUUUGAUCCGGAGAUUUCCGAAUGGGGAAACCCACUGCUCGUAAUGGAGUAGUAUCCAUACUUGAAUACAUAGAGUAUGAGAAGGCAUACCCGGGGAACUGAAACAUCUAAGUACCCGGAGGAAGAGAAAGCAAAUGCGAUUCCCUGAGUAGCGGCGAGCGAAACGGGAACAGCCCAAACCAAGAGGCUUGCCUCUUGGGGUUGUAGGACACUCUAU